GAUGAAUGCUGGCGGCGUGCCUAAUACAUGCAAGUCGAGCGAACGGACGAGAAGCUUGCUUCUCUGAUGUUAGCGGCGGACGGGUAAGUAACACGUGGAUAACCUACCUAUAAGACUGGGAUAACUUCGGGAAACCGGAGCUAAUACCGGAUAAUAUUUUGAACCGCAUGGUUCAAAAGUGAAAGACGGUCUUGCUGUCACUUAUAGAUGGAUCCGCGCUGCAUUAGCUAGUUGGUAGGGUAACGGCUUACCAAGGCAACGAUGCAUAGCCGACCUGAGAGGGUGAUCGGCCACACUGGAACUGAGACACGGUCCAGACUCCUACGGGAGGCAGCAGUAGGGAAUCUUCCGCAAUGGGCGAAAGCCUGACGGAGCAACGCCGCGUGAGUGAUGAAGGUCUUCGGAUCGUAAAACUCUGUUAUUAGGGAAGAACAUAUGUGUAAGUAACUGUGCACAUCUUGACGGUACCUAAUCAGAAAGCCACGGCUAACUACGUG
Molecule: ribosomal RNA, 497 nt
Filed under: uncultured bacterium
Lineage: Bacteria
Description: partial 16S ribosomal RNA
Rfam family: Bacterial small subunit ribosomal RNA
Source: RNAcentral